CUGGCGGCGUGCCUAAUACAUGCAAGUCGAACGCACAGCGAAAGGUGCUUGCACCUUUCAAGUGAGUGGCGAACGGGUGAGUAACACGUGGACAACCUGCCUCAAGGCUGGGGAUAACAUUUGGAAACAGAUGCUAAUACCGAAUAAAACUUAGUGUCGCAUGACACAAAGUUAAAAGGCGCUUCGGCGUCACCUAGAGAUGGAUCCGCGGUGCAUUAGUUAGUUGGUGGGGUAAAGGCCUACCAAGACAAUGAUGCAUAGCCGAGUUGAGAGACUGAUCGGCCACAUUGGGACUGAGACACGGCCCAAACUCCUACGGGAGGCUGCAGUAGGGAAUCUUCCACAAUGGGCGAAAGCCUGAUGGAGCAACGCCGCGUGUGUGAUGAAGGCUUUCGGGUCGUAAAGCACUGUUGUAUGGGAAGAACAGCUAGAAUAGGAAAUGAUUUUAGUUUGACGGUACCAUACCAGAAAGGGACGGCUAAAUACGUGCCAGCAGCCGCGGUAAUACGUAUGUCCCGAGCGUUAUCCGGAUUUAUUGGGCGUAAAGCGAGCGCAGACGGUUUAUUAAGUCUGAUGUGAAAGCCCGGAGCUCAACUCCGGAAUGGCAUUGGAAACUGGUUAACUUGAGUGCAGUAGAGGUAAGUGGAACUCCAUGUGUAGCGGUGGAAUGCGUAGAUAUAUGGAAGAACACCAGUGGCGAAGGCGGCUUACUGGACUGCAACUGACGUUGAGGCUCGAAAGUGUGGGUAGCAAACAGGAUUAGAUACCCUGGUAGUCCACACCGUAAACGAUGAACACUAGGUGUUAGGAGGUUUCCGCCUCUUAGUGCCGAAGCUAACGCAUUAAGUGUUCCGCCUGGGGAGUACGACCGCAAGGUUGAAACUCAAAGGAAUUGACGGGGACCCGCACAAGCGGUGGAGCAUGUGGUUUAAUUCGAAGCAACGCGAAGAACCUUACCAGGUCUUGACAUCCUUUGAAGCUUUUAGAGAUAGAAGUGUUCUCUUCGGAGACAAAGUGACAGGUGGUGCAUGGUCGUCGUCAGCUCGUGUCGUGAGAUGUUGGGUUAAGUCCCGCAACGAGCGCAACCCUUAUUGUUAGUUGCCAGCAUUCAGAUGGGCACUCUAGCGAGACUGCCGGUGACAAACCGGAGGAAGGCGGGGACGACGUCAGAUCAUCAUGCCCCUUAUGACCUGGGCUACACACGUGCUACAAUGGCGUAUACAACGAGUUGCCAACCCGCGAGGGUGAGCUAAUCUCUUAAAGUACGUCUCAGUUCGGAUUGUAGUCUGCAACUCGACUACAUGAAGUCGGAAUCGCUAGUAAUCGCGGAUCAGCACGCCGCGGUGAAUACGUUCCCGGGUCUUGUACACACCGCCCGUCACACCAUGGGAGUUUGUAAUGCCCAAAGCCGGUGGCCUAACCUUUUAGGAAGGAGCCGUCUAAGGCAGGACAGAUGACUGGGG
This 1463-nucleotide ribosomal RNA is filed under the name Leuconostoc mesenteroides subsp. mesenteroides. RNAcentral's name for it is "bacterial SSU rRNA". It matches the Rfam family "Bacterial small subunit ribosomal RNA". The record is from RNAcentral. Lineage: Bacteria; Bacillati; Bacillota; Bacilli; Lactobacillales; Lactobacillaceae. RNAcentral also lists the same sequence under 1 other name.